Ostrea edulis (European flat oyster) is the source of this 741-nucleotide long non-coding RNA. RefSeq lists it as uncharacterized. NCBI's taxonomy places the organism in Eukaryota, Metazoa, Mollusca, Bivalvia, Ostreida, Ostreidae. The transcript has 2 exons. The record is from RefSeq and is a predicted model, not a curated record.
CAUAAUUAUGUCUGCGAUAUUUCACUUACAUGGUGCGUCUAUACUGUCAAAUACGUGUGCAAAAUCUGCCUAAACUACAGAUAUGUGGUUGAAUUUUAUUACAAAAAUACUUCACUUUCAAAGGGUAAAGAAAACGAACAGUGAUCAAUCUCAUGACUCCCGUAAAGAAUACAAAAUAUAGAGUUGGACAAACAUGGACCCCUGGACAUACCGGUGGUGGGAUUAGGUGCCUCCAUUGUAGGAGGAGUAUGUAGCCCUUAUCGUCCGAGGUUAUAUACCCGCCGUGAGCCCUUUAUCUUGAUCUGGUCAUCAGAGUAAUCCGUAGUCAAAUUCAGUGUGUAACGAAGGGCUUACUAAUGUUAUCUGGUGGCGCCCAAUUUUUGUUGGAGGAAGAGAGAACCCAGAUACAAUGUAACUUGGAAGAGACCACCGACCUUCCGAAAGUAAACUGGGAAACUUUCUCACUUACCGGCGCGAGCGGGAUCUUUUCCUUCAAUAUAAUAUUCACAUUAGGAGUGGGUGAAAAUGUGAGGAGUUCAAAACAGCUGCAAAUGAUGAUUAGAAAAAGAAAAAACUUGGCAAAGAUUUGUAUUGGACGAUUUGUACAAACUUUAAAUAUUUCUUUUGAAUUACAUACUAUAUAAACAUGAAAUACAAAUGAAAAAGAGUAUCAAUAUCAGCGAGUACAUACUUUAUUUUCCAAAGAUUGUAUGUUUAUUUACAAUAAAAUGUAUAUAUUUC